AUUGAACGCUGGCGGCAUGCCUUACACAUGCAAGUCGAACGGCAGCACGGGAGCAAUCCUGGUGGCGAGUGGCGAACGGGUGAGUAAUAUAUCGGAACGUGCCCAGUCGUGGGGAUAACGUAGCGAAAGCUACGCUAAUACCGCAUACGAUCUAUGGAUGAAAGCGGGGGAUCGCAAGACCUCGCGCGAUUGGAGCGGCCGAUAUCAGAUUAGGUAGUUGGUGAGGUAAAGGCUCACCAAGCCGACGAUCUGUAGCUGGUCUGAGAGGACGACCAGCCACACUGGGACUGAGACACGGCCCAGACUCCUACGGGAGGCAGCAGUGGGGAAUUUUGGGACAAUGGGCGCAAGCCUGAUCCAGCAAUGCCGCGUGCAGGAUGG
This 381-nucleotide ribosomal RNA is filed under the name uncultured bacterium. Its description in RNAcentral is "bacterial SSU rRNA". It matches the Rfam family "Bacterial small subunit ribosomal RNA", at positions 30 to 411 of the family's 1533-position model. The record is from RNAcentral.